This 305-nucleotide ribosomal RNA is filed under the name uncultured bacterium. RNAcentral describes it as "bacterial SSU rRNA". It matches the Rfam family "Bacterial small subunit ribosomal RNA", at positions 334 to 655 of the family's 1533-position model. The record is from RNAcentral.
UUUUCCUACGGGAGGCAGCAGUGGGGGAUAUUGCACAAUGGGGGAAACCCUGAUGCAGCGACACCGCGUGGGUGAGGAAGCGCUUCGGCGUGUAAAGCCCUAUCAGUGGGGAAGAAAAAGGACGGUACCCAAAGAAGAAGCACCGGCUAAAUACGUGCCAGCAGCCGCGGUAAUACGUAUGGUGCAAGCGUUAUCCGGAUUCACUGGGUGUAAAGGGAGCGUAGACGGCCGUGCAAGCCAGGAGUGAAAGCCCGGGGCCCAACCCCGGGACUGCUCUUGGAACUGUGCGGCUGGAGUGCGGGAGG